AACUUCUGGGUAGAACAGUGAGUCACUGGGAAUUGGUUUGAUAUUCUGUCCAUGUAGCAGGAUAAUGGUCGUGGGUUCUCCUGUAGGGCCUAUGGCCCAUCUAGCUGCAGAUAAAGAAACUAAUAUUGGUCAGACUUAGUCACUACAGCGAAAUAUAUGACCCAGACCACUGAUGAAGAAAAUGGUUUAUCUUCUCCUCAGUCUUUAAGGUUCAAGGGUGUGGAGCCUGCAUUAGGUAGUGGCUCACAUGCUAUAUGAGUUCUGCACUUUGCAAGUUUCUCCCACAGAAGUGGCAAACAUAUAAAAAGAACAAAUUUUCAACCAUUGGCAUGCAGUUCUCCUUAAUCGGAUGAAAACAAUAAAUGUUACCAAAAAAACUUGCAAACUAAGUUUGCAGAUGACCACAGGCCCAUCACAAAUAAACAAGCUGGACGGAGCCAUUUCAAGAAAACACACAUAAUAACUGAUGGGGUGGUGGGAAAGCAUGUGAGCCAAAGGUCCUUCCCCUUCAACAAAGUAAAGAUUAUGUUCCUUAAGACACCCUGGGAAAAGAGUGCAAGCAGCAAGGAGUGUGAGCAUCCAAGAACUGCUGGAAGGGGAACAUAUAGGUUUACAUCUGCCUUUUAAAUAUGUCUUGGAGGAAACUUGAAAGCAAACAAAUCCCUGCUCUGCAGUGGUCUAAGCAAGCUGCCAAUCCACAGCCUGAGCCAAUUCAAGCUUUGGACCCUUAACUUGUAGGCUCUUAGUGGAGAGGGAAUAAGAGACUUAAAAACUGAAUUCACAGCCCACACCUCUUCUUUGUGUACACUUUGUUUGGCUUCAAUUCUACUGAUGACCCACCUGACUGAGAAGGGCCAUUGACCUUUUCCUAAACCCCAGAUUGUGUCCUGUCACUAGGACAUCAGGAUAGAUUAUGUGGGAGCUCUCUUCCAGCCCUCUGUCCUUGUCCCUUGUUCUGUCAUGCAGGGAGUAAAUAUAUCUCCAUAUGUGGAUGCCCCCCCUCAUAGAAAGCUUGGAUCUCAUUUCUUCUUGGAUCUGUACUAUGGUCUGACUCCUUAACUGAGCUACGAGUACAACACCCACAAUUCCUCUCCACUUUCCUAUGUGCUGAACUUAAGUCUGGAUUAUAUUUUA
Molecule: long non-coding RNA, 1134 nt
Organism: Mastomys coucha (southern multimammate mouse)
Lineage: Eukaryota; Metazoa; Chordata; Mammalia; Rodentia; Muridae
Exons: 4
Source: RefSeq, a predicted model, not a curated record